This 494-nucleotide ribosomal RNA is filed under the name uncultured bacterium. RNAcentral's name for it is "partial 16S ribosomal RNA". It matches the Rfam family "Bacterial small subunit ribosomal RNA", at positions 28 to 507 of the family's 1533-position model. The record is from RNAcentral.
GACGAACGCUGGCGGCGUGCUUAACACAUGCAAGUCGAACGGUGAAGCGCCUUCCUUUUUGGUGGGUGUGGAUGAGUGGCGAACGGGUGAGUAACACGUGAGUAACCUGCCCCCUUCUUCUGGAUAACCGCAUGAAAGUGUGGCUAAUACGGGAUAUUCUGGGUCUGUCGCAUGAUGGGUCUGGGAAAGAUCUUGUUUCGGUGGGGGAUGGGCUCGCGUCCUAUCAGCUUGUUGGUGGGGUGAUGGCCUACCAAGGCGGUGACGGGUAGCCGGCCUGAGAGGGUGGACGGCCAUACUGGGACUGCGACACGGACAAGACUACUACGAGAGGCAGCAGUGGGGAAUAUUGCACAAGGGGAGGAAGGCUGAUGCAGCGACGCGGCGUGAGGGAUGGAGGCCUUCGGGUUGUGAACCUCUUUUGCCAGUGAAGCAGGCCUGCCUAGUUUGUGGGUGGGUUGACGGUAGCUGGAUAAGAAGCGCCGGCUAACUACGUG